This 388-nucleotide ribosomal RNA is filed under the name uncultured bacterium. Its description in RNAcentral is "bacterial SSU rRNA". It matches the Rfam family "Bacterial small subunit ribosomal RNA", at positions 28 to 417 of the family's 1533-position model. The record is from RNAcentral.
GACGAACGCUGGCGGCGUCCUUAACACAUGCAAGUCGAGCGGUAAGGCCCUUUCGGGGGUACACGAGCGGCGAACGGGUGAGUAACACGUGGGUGACCUGCCCUCAGCUCUGGGAUAAGCCCGGGAAACUGGGUCUAAUACCGGAUAUGACUCCACGGUGCAUGUCGUGGGGUGGAAAGCCUUGUGCGGCUAAGGAUGGGCCCGCGGCCUAUCAGCUUGUUGGUGGGGUGAUGGCCUACCAAGGCGACGACGGGUAGCCGGCCUGAGAGGGCGACCGGCCACACUGGGACUGAGACACGGCCCAGACUCCUACGGGAGGCAGCAGUGGGGAAUCUUGCGCAAUGGGCGAAAGCCUGACGCAGCGACGCCGCGUGAGGGAUGACGGCCU